GCCAGGCACGGUGGUGCACACUUGUAAUCCCAGCAGCUCAGGAGGCUGAGGCAGGAGGAUCAUGAGUUCAAAGCCAGCCUCAGCAAAAAGCAAGGUACUAAACAACUCAGUGAGAUCCUGUCUCUA
Molecule: small RNA, 126 nt
Filed under: Marmota monax (woodchuck)
Lineage: Eukaryota; Metazoa; Chordata; Mammalia; Rodentia; Sciuridae
Source: RNAcentral